CAGUCGCCGCGGGAAAACGGAGGGGGCUAGCGUUGUUCGGAAUUACUGGGCGUAAAGCGCACGUAGGCGGCUUGGUAAGUUAGAGGUGAAGGCCCGGAGCUCAACUCCGGAAUUGCCUUUAAGACUGCCGAGCUAGCAGGUGAGAGAGGUAAGUGGAAUUCCGAGUGUAGAGGUGAAAUUCGUAGAUAUUCGGAAGAACACCAGUGGCGAAGGCGGCUUACUGGCUCAUACUGGACGCUGAGGUGCGAAAGCGUGGGGAGCAAACAGGAUUAGAUACCCCAGUAGUCCCUGUCUCUUAUAC
This 301-nucleotide ribosomal RNA is filed under the name uncultured bacterium. RNAcentral describes it as "partial 16S ribosomal RNA". It matches the Rfam family "Bacterial small subunit ribosomal RNA", at positions 509 to 807 of the family's 1533-position model. The record is from RNAcentral.